Long non-coding RNA from Centrocercus urophasianus (Greater sage-grouse), 3118 nucleotides. RefSeq lists it as uncharacterized. The record is from RefSeq and is a predicted model, not a curated record. Lineage: Eukaryota; Metazoa; Chordata; Aves; Galliformes; Phasianidae. The transcript has 6 exons.
AGCCGGACUGCUCGGGGCGGAGGGGACAGCGGGGAGGCCCCGCGCAUCGCCCCCGUCCCGCUUCAGGAGGAGCCUUAGAGCGGCUCGAGCGGAGCAGCCGCCGCCCGUGACAAGCGCAGCGGAGAUCUUAUCGGCAGGAGGAAGUGCCGAGCUAUCGCUGCUUUUCUCCGAACCGUCGGCUUUACCAGGUGUCCAAAAUGACCAAAUUCACCAAGGCCACAGCUUGCUGCCAUUUCCUGAGGUUCAUGGUGACUCUGGCUGUCACCACAACUGUGUAAACCUGACUACAGACCUGCAAGUGGAAGGAAAACCCGGCAUGCCUCUGGAAAUCACCCCUGUGAUUCACCGGGUGUCAUUCCUCUGAGUAAGCAUUGAGCUCAUGUCCAGCUUGAAGAUCACUGUGCUUUAUGAAAUAAAAAUACGUAAUGUACAUCCAAGACCAUGAGUCAUGUCUGCAAUGUUCUCUGCAGCAUCUAUGUUGGUCGAUUACAAAGGUACUCAAGUGUCCUGCUGGAAUGGCGAGUGAGAAAAUUCCCUGGUGGUAACAGAGGGCCCUACAGGAUGGUGGGGUCAGCAGACGUUGUUAGGAAGGCAAGCCAGAUAAUCCAGUGUGGGAAGCAGCUCCAGAGAAGGAGAAAAGAUUGCUAAUACAACUGGAAUGAAGGACAGCAUAUAGAAAGUAUUUGCCAGUCAUGAAUUCCCCACCACCCUCAGUGAACAAUUAGGCUGAUGAUUACAGCUGCUGGUUGUAUUGGAACUGUUGAGUUAUGGUCUGAACCACUGAUUGACCACCUGAAGCAAGGACUGAGUCACCUAUGGGAGCACAGGUGAAGGCUAUUCACAUUUUUGACCUGCAGGGAUGGAGCCUGGCUGCACCUCUCCUAGACUCCAUUUAAGUGCUGACUGCCGUGGGGGGAAGGAUCACUUUCUGGAGAUCCCUCUUUUUGGAGAUUUCUGCUGUGAGCUGAGGAUGUGGAAGAGGCACAUGCCCUACCACCUGUGCAGGAACAAACAACCUGAAAAGCACCUUGAGAUGCUGUGUCGCAGAACGGAGGGGUACAUCUGCUUUGGACAUGAGAUGUGUGAACUUUGCUUGGAAAUAAGUGUUCAACUGUGAAUAGGUGUUUGGUGAAUAGGCUGUAGUCAUAAUGAAAUUAUCAAUGUAAGCAAAUCCACACUCUCAUCUUGGUGAAUUUGACAAGAGAAGAUGGCUUCAAUAUCUAGUGGUACUGUUAAUAGUUUGAUACUAUUGUUUCAUCUUCUCCAUCUAGAGAAGAUAAUAAUUUAUUGCAUUUUCUCCUAAUUUUACUACCAGGAAUGGUUUCAUUAAGUUAGCUGAAAUAUGCAGAAAUCUGGUAGCAAGAAGUGGCUUGGAAAAAUUCUGCUCUAAUAGUUGAUGCUUGCUAGUUUUAUGAAGGAAAGAGUUGAAAAUUAUAAGGAUAUACAAAUAAAGUUCGUAAUAUUGUUUUUGAACUGUUGUCUUACUCUGUUCUUUUAUGCUCUGCUUUUGACAGCCUGUAUGAGCACUUAAAAAAUAAAAGUGCUAUGAUACAUAAUAAAAGUGAGUUUCUGGGAAACCUAUGUCUGUCAGGUAGUGAUUUUAUGAAACCCAAGAAAAAAAAGUGUUAAUCUUAUCACCAACUACCAGUUUCAUCUUUAUUUCAAAGCUUCUACUUAAUCUGAAUUCCUGAACAGUCAGACCCGAACUUUUCUCACACUAAGAUGUUUCAGGUUGCACAGGUGCAUUUGAGAAGUGUUUUCCCUCAGAUGUUUGUUGAAGCCUUGGAUUAAAUCUAGAAUUUAUAUGUUAAUGAAUUUUGUGUUGAGAUAUAUUAUCAUGCUUACCUGCCGCAUGGUUUCACAAAGGGGGGUCAUUCUGCCUUUCUUACUGUUCCUUUCAAAGAAAUAUUUAAAAAUCUGGUGAUUUUAGCAGAUGAGCUAAUUAUAAUGCAAUGUUAUCUUCCUUUUUGCAUACAGUUCUCAUAGAUAUCACAUAAGAUGUAACUACCACGAAGCUUUACUUAGUGUUGAGCAGUGAGUGAUCAGUUAAAGAAUUGCCCUUCAAGUUAUUUUAAUUAUGGAAUUGGGAAAUGAUGAGGAUAAAACAGUGCUUCAAAUAUGUCUAUUCAUAUAUUGCUCGUCAGCUUCCUUGAUAACUCAGCUAUGGUCUCAUACUGAGUAUGAGAAACUCACAUGUGACAGUGAUUUCAAAUGAGUUAGCUAACCUAACUCAACUCAACUGUAAAUACUAUAAGCUAUCAACAUUGCAACAGCUAAGAGUCUUUAUCUCAGUUGUGAGUUUAUGAUUUAGAAAGCACUUAUUUCUGGUUUGAAGAUGAAAUAAAAAUUGAAAAUGUAGAUGUUGAAUCAUAAAAUCUACAAGUACUUUUAAAAAUAUUGGAGCAUCUUAAGUCCAAUUCUCAGUCUAGGAUUUGUGUAUAGGAAUGCCAGCUGUGCUUGAAGUAGUCAGGGAUGAAAGCUUUUAAUGGAAUGAAAAAUCUUUCUCUCAUUCUAGCUAAAACUGCAGUUUCCUGUGAAGUGAAAGUUACAUUUCUUUAGCGGAUAGAUGACAUACAAACAGAAAGGUAGAGUCUAACAUCUAAUGAAUAAGGCUAGAAAUUUUGUAAAGAAAUUCUACAAAGGAAAAAUCUAGUGAAGUCAUUGAACAAACUAUCAGACAGAGAGAAAGUAGUAGAGGUCCAUGCUGCAUACAUCACUAAGGAAUAUGAAAACACAUUUCUUACUGAAACAGUUCCCAGUUCCCUACAUAGCCUGGGUAUCUAUUGGCUUUAAAAGGUGAAGAAAGAAAAAGAAUAACAAGUUCUGUAAAGAAAUAUCAAAGGCCACCGGAGAAAGAUCUUUUAAAAACAGGAACAGUAGCACAUGGAAAAAUGGUCAGGGGCUACCAAAAAUGAAAGAGUAAUAACCAGCUGUUUAUUACAUUGAACCAUCAGACUACAUAUCUUACAAGCAAUAGCAAUUCAAAAUUUAUGAGGCCUAUCUGUGAGGAGUUUUUACUCAAGUUAAAAGCUGCAAUUAUAAAGUUUACCAAAGGUUUGUACUGUUUUAAAGGUUAGUUCUCUGAAUUUAGUUAGUGUUUUCAAUGAAAAAAAAAAAA